Molecule: small nuclear RNA, 134 nt
Organism: Mustela erminea (ermine)
Lineage: Eukaryota; Metazoa; Chordata; Mammalia; Carnivora; Mustelidae
Product: U4 spliceosomal RNA
Exons: 1
Source: RefSeq, a predicted model, not a curated record
AUAGUUGCAGUGGCAGUAUCGUAGCCAAUGAGGUUUAUCCGAGGCGCGAUUAUUGCUAAUUGAUAGUUGUAAAUAAAAAUGACAAACUUAUCCUUAAUUGAACAUGUUCCCCAAUCUCAGGAUUUUAGACCUGA